AAAAAGAACAACAUAAACCACCCAGGAUAAUCUCCUUAUUUCAAGAGCCUGAGCUUUGUCAUAUCUUUACCGGAUUAAGUCACAAUCACAGAUUCCGAGAAAUGGAACCUGAGACCUUGGAUGACCACCAUUCAGUGCACUACCCAGAGUUAGAAGGAACAUUGUAAGAAAUCGGCCAGAUCCCAUAAUGACACGGGAAUAUUCACAACGAUCUUCCAGGAGCCAAGCUUCUGAUGUUCUUACAUUUCCAGGGAUGAUGACAAGGUGUGCAGGAGGUUUUACUCUGGAGGAUGUGAGUUCACAGAAGUGGAAUGCAGGGAGGUUAGUUCAGAUGAUAAACUGAGACUCUACAACUUGUUUUCCUUUUUUGGUAAGUUAAUAUUUACCUUGGCAAUGUUGACAUUUCUGAACUUUCAUUUUGGCUUUCAUUUAGCAAUAAAUACUGUCACAGGAAAGCA
Molecule: long non-coding RNA, 458 nt
Filed under: Oryctolagus cuniculus (rabbit)
Lineage: Eukaryota; Metazoa; Chordata; Mammalia; Lagomorpha; Leporidae
Description: lncRNA (ENSOCUG00000038641.1)
Source: RNAcentral